Molecule: ribosomal RNA, 253 nt
Filed under: uncultured bacterium
Lineage: Bacteria
Description: partial 16S ribosomal RNA
Rfam family: Archaeal small subunit ribosomal RNA
Source: RNAcentral
UACCAGCACCCCGAGUGGUCGGGACGAUUAUUGGGCCUAAAGCCUCCGUAGCCGGUUUUACAAGUCCUCCGUUAAAUCCAGCUGCUUAACAGAUGGGCUGCGGAGGAUACUAUAAGACUAGGAGGCAGGAGAGGCAAGCGGUACUCAGUGGGUAGGGGUAAAAUCCGUUGAUCCAUUGAAGACCACCAGUGGCGAAGGCGGCUUGCCAGAAUGCGCUCGACGGUGAGGGACGAAGCCCUGGGGCGCAAACCGG